This is an RNA transcript of Corythoichthys intestinalis (scribbled pipefish), 4492 nucleotides long. It is a transcript of the gene named forkhead box L3, with no coding region annotated. The transcript is spliced from 5 exons. The record is from RefSeq and is a predicted model, not a curated record. Lineage: Eukaryota; Metazoa; Chordata; Actinopteri; Syngnathiformes; Syngnathidae.
ACUGAGCAAAGCAGCAGGAGAAGAAGGAGAAGGUGUUACUACGGGAGACAGGCACUGUUUUUGGGGGGGAUCGCGCAAGAAGUAUAAGUGUAGACAUGUUUGACACUUCUCAUUACCCCUUUAACUGUUUUAACUAUGAUGGAGACUCAUACGCUUCAUGUAGCACCGAUCAGGAGAAGAAGAUGUGUCGACCUGCCUACAGCUACAUUGCCCUGAUCGCCAUGGCGAUCCAGCAGAGCCCUGAGCAAAGGGUCACCCUGUCAGGAAUCUAUGAGUUUAUCAUGAGGAGGUUCCCGUACUACCGCUCCAACCAGAGAGCCUGGCAGAACUCCAUCAGACAUAACCUUUCGCUCAACAGUUGCUUCAUCAAGGUUCCCAGGACAGAGGGAAACGAGAAAGGUAAAGGGAACUUUUGGACUUUUGCCACAGGAUGCGAAUCCAUGCUUGACCUCUUUGAAAACGGCAAUUUCCGGCGUCGCAGGCGCAGGCGGAACAUGAAAAUUGGCCUCCGCGAUUCGGGAGAGGCUCUGCUCCGGCCUGCGGAGAGCCUGGGCAAACAGCGCGCCCCCGUGGUCCGCCACCCUGAGGCAGACUCUACCCUUUGCCCUUCAAACCCCCAGAGGCCUCGAGCAUCCCCCACGGUUAACCCCUUGGCCCCAAAACCGGAGUCGGAGAUCAAGUUCAGCAUUGACUACAUCCUGUCUACGCCGGACCCGGCUAUGCCCGGGAUCAGAUCCUCUCACAUCGGCCAAGUGCACAUUGGACCACCCAUACAUGUUCUGGAGCACCAACACCUCAACCUGCACUUCUGGACCCUGUGAGAGAGAGACUGAAUCCUCUUCAUUCACCAUGAGGCGUUGUGACAGCUUUACGGUCACGGAGGUGCUGGAGCCUAUCACAGCUAACUACGGGGAGUAGGCAGGGAUCGCCCUGAAUUGGUUGCCAGCCAAUCAGAGGGAACUUUGAGACAAACAACCAGUCACACACACACUCAUACCUAUGUUCAAUCAGCCUUCCACGCACAUUUUUUGGAUGUGGGAUGAAACCGGAGUCCCCGGAGAAAACCCACACAGGCACAUGGAGAACAUGCAAAGUCCACAAAGGAAGGCCAGAACCUAGGAUUGAACCCUUGAUCUCAGAACUGUGAGACGGAUGUGCAAACCACUCGGCCACCUAGACUACGUUGAGACCAAGUUAACUUCACCGCACAAUGGUCCCCCCCCCCCCCCCCAUUUGAUCAAGCACUAUUUAUUAGUCAUUUUGAAAACAGGAUUAAAAUCAGUUCAUCCUUGACUCUGGGCAAAUAUUGUUUGAUUGUAAAUCCAUGAUCCAAACCCUCCCUUGUUUGGGGUUUGUUUUCUUUGUGUACUGCAGCUUCAGUCAGAUUGCCAAAACAUGCAUGUAUCUAGGUGUCAUUGAAGACUAAAUGAUCCUUUAAAAAUGUGAAUGGUUGAUUCUCCUUAUAUCCAAUGCAGCUAGCCUUAGGGUGUACAACUCCUAUCAAAAAGUAUGGAAAAGCUUGAAAAAAUAAUGAAUCAGUUCAAAAGUGCAACUCUUUAGCAUUGCAACCAAACCAAAGUUCCAGCAUCAUCACCUUGUCAAGAGUCAUGAAUCUGCAUUGGACAAGGUGUCAAGAGUCAAAAAUCUGCAAUGGACAAGGUGAUGAUGCUGGAACUUUGGUUUGGUGCUGUUCCAGUGAGAUUUACAAAGAUGACUGCCUGAAGAAAACAUCAAAAUUCCCUCAGUCCUUGAUGAUAUGGGUCUGCAUGUCAGGCAAAGGCACUGGGGAGAUGGCUGUGGUUAAAUCUUUAAUAAAUGGACAAGUUUACAUUGAAAGUUUAGAUAGAUUUCUUAUCUCUUCAAUUGAAAAUGUGUUUGUCAUUUUCAAAGAUGACAAUGCAUCAUGCCACAUAGCUAAAACUGUUAAAGCAAUCCUUGGAGAAAGACUCAUCCAGUCAAUGUCAUGGCCUGCAAAUAGCCCAGAUCUCAACCUUAUUGAAAACCUGUGGUGGAAAUUGAAGAAAAUAGUCCACAGCAAGGCUCCGACCGGCAAGGAUGAUCUGGCAACUGCCAUCAAAGAGAGUUGGCACCAAAUUGAUGAAUAAUAGUCAUCAAGUCCAUGCAUCAGUGACUGCACAUCUCUAAAUACUAGAGAUGUGUUUUGAUUGUUAUUUCUUUGUUUCUCAUGAUUCCAUAUUUUUUCCUCAGAAUGGAGUGAUUCCAUAUAUAUUUCCCUGUACUUGCUCUAUAAAAGUAAAAUUUACUGACCACCACAAUGUUUUAUAUUCAUUUCUUUUAUUGUUCUGAAUGCUAAAGAGUUGCACUUUUGAACUAAUUCAUUAUUUUUAUCAAGCUUUUUAUCUGAGUUUGUUCUACAUGAUAAAAUGUCUGAAUGAGUGCUCGUCCGAGACUGGUGAUUUCAUACUUUUUGCUGGGGGUUGUAGUUGGGCAAAUCAGCUGGGCUUCUGCUCACUUGUAGCCUUGCCUUAAUGAGGAUAUUGGCUAAUGACAAUGGAUGGAAGGAUGUUUCCUUCUGAAAAGUCUACUAGAUUAUGUAUGAAAUCUCACUGAUUUCUUCAUAUUUGUACAUGUAGUAUGGGAAAAUCGUAUUAAAAAAAAAGGUCACUGAUGAGGUAGGUGUAUGUUCAUCUGACUUUAGGGGAAGCAGCGUGACUUACCAAUAUUUAUAAAACAUGGUAAUAGAAAAACAUUUAAUAGUACAGGUAGAUCCCAAGGCUACGACGUCCCUGACUUACGUGAUUUCGACUCUACAACGCUGGAGUUUCGUUCGCCAUUUUGUCUCCAGUUUUUUUUUUUUUUUUUUUGUCGCAUAAACAGUACCUCAUUAUUGUCAGGAAAACCGGGCAGGCAGGUGGUGUGGACCCAAAUGCAGGGAAACGAAAAGCAGCAAGGCAGGUGGCGGUGAACUCAAAAAGGCAAAGUUCAAACAAAACUUACUUUAUCGGAGGGACUAAUACACGAGGGCUUGGACAGGACUUCGACAUCGACAUUGACAAUGACGCAACAAGGAGUGAAAAGAAACUGAGCUUAUAUACACACAGAGACGAGGUGUAACAAGACAACUAGGAACAGAUGGGUGAUGACACAGAAGGAUUCAGAUUGUCGGAUACACUAGGCGCAGGUACAACAGGUGAAAUCAAUGGGUAAUCACAGGAACACACUAGGAGGGAACCAACUCAAAACCUAACAAUUAUAACUCACAGUAUUUUAUUUUUUACUUUAUUUUAUUAAUAUGACUGUUCUGGCCUUUUUUAAUAUGACUGUUCAGGCAUUUGGCAAAAUGUGUAUUUGAUUAUAAUGUUGACUUUAGUUUUGUGAUGCAUGCUUUUAUUUUAUUUACGCAGGAAGCGUAGAGGAGGCAGUGCUUCUGCACGCGAGUAAGAGUGCAUGUACACACGAAGAAGAACAUAUUGCGCACACUAUAAAGAGCACACCCGCACACACGAGGAGGAGGCAUUUGCUCCCACGAAGAAGUCGUGCAGCUGAGUGAGAGCGGGGAAAGAUUACUGUAGUUCGCUGUCUAGCUAGGAUUUAGCGCCAACGUCUCGGCAAGGACAGUACAAUGACGUAUAAUACAUGUUUUUGGAUAGUAUUUUGAGAUUUAGAGGGUAUUUAGGGGUACUUAAAGGGUUAAUUCCGACUUAAGCAGAAAUUCAGGUUACAUCACCAGCGUAGAAACGGAACUCGGUCAUAAUCUGGUGACUACCUGUAUAAAUAAAUAAUGUCAAAUAAAAUAAACUUUUACACUUAAAAUUACACACUUUCAUGAAAUAUGCAGGGUCCAAUGACAGCGUCAAAUGCAGGUUGCUAUGGCAAAGGGGUUGGAGCCCCACAAGGGGGGUUGGCUACUGCGGUGUCAUUGCAAAUAGCCAAUUCCUGUUGUUUCUGUGCAGUACAUUUUUGCAGCCCUCAGGGGCCCCUGUAUUGGCUGGGGCCCCAAGCAAUUGCCUGGCAUGCCUGUCCGCUAGCUCCGGCUCUGUGAAUAUGUUUGAAUGUCUGUACUUUUCACUGAACCAUUUUAAGGUUUGGGACACGCGUUCUCAUAAUAUAGAAUGAGAAUUGACCAAAUUUUGGUUAUGUAUAUAUGAAGCCAUUAAUUGACUAGCAAUUGCAAUUAGUUCAAGUUCCAGUUUGCAUGUUUCCUUUUGUCACCAGGUAUACGCUCCAGCUUCCCAUGACUGAACUGGAGAAGUAGUAUAGAAACUGGAUGGAUGGCUCAAAAAUUGUCAAUACAACUGUCUGUCUAUCAAUAGUGCCUUUUGAAGUAUCUUUGCAUGACAGUAAAAACAUGGACGACAACCUCAACAAGUGUCAUUCAGCAAUAACGGUAUGGUACGUUAAUUGAUUAUGUUGAAAGCUGUGCUAAGAAGUGAUGGAUGAAGAACUCAAUUUUUUUUUUUUUUACUUAAGUAAAAGUACAGAUACAGGGGCAAAAAAGGGAAGUGAGUGAGAGUUUGAGCCAAUACUCAAA